This 247-nucleotide ribosomal RNA is filed under the name uncultured bacterium. RNAcentral's name for it is "partial 16S ribosomal RNA". It matches the Rfam family "Bacterial small subunit ribosomal RNA", at positions 523 to 769 of the family's 1533-position model. The record is from RNAcentral.
AUACGUAGGGGGCAAGCGUUAUCCGGAUUUACUGGGUGUAAAGGGAGCGUAGACGGCACUGCAAGUCUGGAGUGAAAGCCCGGGGCUCAACCCCGGGACUGCUUUGGAGACUGUGGUGCUAGAGUGCAGGAGAGGUAAGUGGAAUUCCUAAUGUAGCGGUGAAAUGCGUAGAUAUUAGGAGGAACACCAGUGGCGAAGGCGGCUUACUGGACUGUAACUGACGUUGAGGCUCGAAGGCGUGGGGAGC